This 289-nucleotide RNase P RNA is filed under the name Acidilobales archaeon. RNAcentral's name for it is "RNase P RNA component". It matches the Rfam family "Archaeal RNase P". Rfam says of the family: Ribonuclease P (RNase P) is a ubiquitous endoribonuclease, found in archaea, bacteria and eukarya as well as chloroplasts and mitochondria. Its best characterised activity is the generation of mature 5'-ends of tRNAs by cleaving the 5'-leader elements of precursor-tRNAs. The record is from RNAcentral. Lineage: Archaea; Thermoproteati; Thermoproteota; Thermoprotei; Acidilobales.
GGCCGCCUCCACAGGGCCCACGGGGGCAACCCUGAGGAAACACCGCCCUUCCCGCGGCGCCAGGACCCCGCAAGGGGUGCGGGUAGAACCCGCGGCUCCGGCACAGAAACGACACGGCCCUGCUGUAGAUGACUAUGAUGGGGCCAAACCCCGGAGGAUCUGUGGGGUGCGGUGAAACGGCCGCCCCCUGGGAAGCAAGGCCGAUUGCGCCUGUGAAGGCCGCGUGAGGCGUAGGUUGGCCGCUCAGCCUAAUGCCCUACGACAGAAGGCGGGUUAUGUGGAGGCGGUC